UGAAUUAUAGCUCAGUGGCAGAGCAUUUGCUUUGCAUGCUGAAGGCACCAGGUUCAACCCCUGGCAACUCCG
RNAcentral lists this transfer RNA (72 nucleotides) under Podarcis lilfordi (Lilford's wall lizard). It matches the Rfam family "tRNA". Rfam says of the family: Transfer RNA (tRNA) molecules are approximately 80 nucleotides in length. Their secondary structure includes four short double-helical elements and three loops (D, anti-codon, and T loops). Further hydrogen bonds mediate the characteristic L-shaped molecular structure. tRNAs have two regions of fundamental functional importance: the anti-codon, which is responsible for specific mRNA codon recognition, and the 3' end, to which the tRNAs corresponding amino acid is attached (by aminoacyl-tRNA synthetases). tRNAs cope with the degeneracy of the genetic code in two manners: having more than one tRNA (with a specific anti-codon) for a particular amino acid; and 'wobble' base-pairing, i.e. permitting non-standard base-pairing at the 3rd anti-codon position. The record is from Rfam by way of RNAcentral. Lineage: Eukaryota; Metazoa; Chordata; Lepidosauria; Squamata; Lacertidae.